Molecule: ribosomal RNA, 161 nt
Filed under: uncultured bacterium
Lineage: Bacteria
Description: partial 16S rRNA
Rfam family: Bacterial small subunit ribosomal RNA
Source: RNAcentral
GGAAUCUUCGGCAAUGGGGGCAACCCUGACCGAGCAACGCCGCGUGAGUGAAGAAGGUUUUCGGAUCGUAAAGCUCUGUUGUAAGAGAAGAACGUGUGUGAGAGUGGGAAGUUCACACAGUGACGGUAACUUACCAGAAAGGGACGGCUAACUACGUGCCA